AUUUAGACACAAGCGAGAGGAUCAUGGCGGAUGGCCCCAGGUGUAAGCGCAGAAAGCAGGCGAACCCGCGGCGCAAUAACGGAAAGCACUAUCAAGAAAGACUAAUGGAGUGACUAUCAAAAGGAAGUCAAUGGACAACCUUAAACUUCCACCACAAGAGGAAUAUAAAGAGGUCCCUCCUGCACCAAGAAAGAUCUGCAGAUCUUUUUCAGUGUUCUUGGAGGUGUGGGGUGUGAGAACUUGAUCAGUUUGUGUCAGCCACCUUGUUCUCUAAAGGUA
Molecule: long non-coding RNA, 279 nt
Filed under: Homo sapiens (human)
Lineage: Eukaryota; Metazoa; Chordata; Mammalia; Primates; Hominidae
Description: HSALNT0160914
Source: RNAcentral